Molecule: ribosomal RNA, 468 nt
Filed under: uncultured bacterium
Lineage: Bacteria
Description: partial 16S ribosomal RNA
Rfam family: Bacterial small subunit ribosomal RNA
Source: RNAcentral
GACGAACGCUGGCGGCGUGCUUAACACAUGCAAGUCGAACGGAAAGGCCCUGCUUUUGUGGGGUGCUCGAGUGGCGAACGGGUGAGUAACACGUGAGUAACCUGCCCUUGACUUUGGGAUAACUUCAGGAAACUGGGGCUAAUACCGGAUAGGAGCUCCUGCUGCAUGGGGGGGGUUGGAAAGUUUCGGCGGUUGGGGUUGGACUCGCGGCUUAUCAGCUUGUUGGUGGGGUAGUGGCUUACCAAGGCUUUGACGGGUAGCCGGCCUGAGAGGGUGACCGGCCACAAUGGGACUGAGAUACGGCCCAGACUCCUACGGGAGGCAGCAGUGGGGAAUAUUGCACAAUGGGCGGAAGCCUGAUGCAGCAACGCCGCGUGCGGGAUGACGGCCUUCGGGUUGUAAACCGCUUUCGCCUGUGACGAAGCGUGAGUGACGGUAAUGGGUAAAGAAGCACCGGCUAACUACGUG